UAUAUUCAUUUAUAUUUUGAAACUUAUGCAUGCAGUUCUGAAGUCUACAAUUAAGCUUUUUAUUUAAACAUUAAAAAAUAAGAUAUGAUUUUUUUUUAUCUUAAAGAUGACCAAGAAAAACUUUAAAAAACUUUUAAAAAAUCAGUGUGUUCCAUCAAUGUAACAGAAAAGCAAAAACAAAAACAACUAACUUCCAUGUGAUUAGAAAAUUACUCUUAAUGACAAUACUUUUCAGUAGAAUACAUAUUAAUGUUAGAAAAAUAACUGUUCUGCUCAUUUUAUGUCAGAUGAAAAAUUAGCUUUGCUUUACUUCAUUUGCCUUGUGGUAACCUCUGCGGUAAGUCACUGAAUUUACAGAGCCACAGGAAAGACAGAGGAAAGUUGUACAUGUUAUAGAAAAUAAAAGAUUUUGUAAUCAUGGUUUUUGCAGUUUUUCUGACAUCAUGUACUCUAUUACUUCAAUAAAACAAAACUUCCAUGGUCUAUUUUUAAAUAAAGAUUUGAAAUUCAUAAUGCAACACAUAAAAUAUCCAUUAGUAUAUUCCCUUAGAUUUUCAGGGAGCUUGCACAAUAUUUAAACUGUAUAACACAUGACAUUUCAACAUAUUACAGGCAUGGUAGACUCCUUACAUGCAUAUAAUGCAAAUGUCAUUCCUUACGGUAAAACAAAUAUUUACACAGAAUGAUGAAGAACAAAAAUACAAAAUGUGUCUAAAGUUUCUAAUCUUUCAAAUGUAUUCUUUGCAUAAAGUUAAUUAAUAAAAUAUUCUUCACACACAUUUUAUAUGGCACACAGUUUCUGAUUUUUAUGUCCUUGCUUGCAGUCGUUUCACCCAUUAGAUAGGCAAUGAUGCAGUUUUAAGUUUUCUUUCCAUGCUUUGGUUCGUGUCUUGUAACGCGGUCAAUGAAAAAUGACAAGUAUUCAAAAGAUUAAUAAUAAAUAAAUUAAGAGUUAAA
Long non-coding RNA from Oxyura jamaicensis (ruddy duck), 957 nucleotides. RefSeq lists it as uncharacterized. The record is from RefSeq and is a predicted model, not a curated record. Lineage: Eukaryota; Metazoa; Chordata; Aves; Anseriformes; Anatidae. The transcript is spliced from 2 exons.